Molecule: long non-coding RNA, 87 nt
Organism: Sander lucioperca (pikeperch)
Lineage: Eukaryota; Metazoa; Chordata; Actinopteri; Perciformes; Percidae
Exons: 3
Source: RefSeq, a predicted model, not a curated record
UUUUCACUACAAAAGCACCCUAGUCAACUUCUCUUGUCAAAAAAGACGCCAAGUGUGAACACAGCCUUACACGUGCUAUUUAAGAGG